This is a non-coding RNA of Dipodomys ordii (Ord's kangaroo rat), 65 nucleotides long. NCBI's taxonomy places the organism in Eukaryota, Metazoa, Chordata, Mammalia, Rodentia, Heteromyidae. The record is from Rfam.
GGUGGUUCAGUGGUAGAGCACUUGCCUUGCAUGCAUGAGACCCUGGGUUCGAUUCCUCAGCACCA